This 465-nucleotide ribosomal RNA is filed under the name uncultured bacterium. Its description in RNAcentral is "bacterial SSU rRNA". It matches the Rfam family "Bacterial small subunit ribosomal RNA", at positions 329 to 791 of the family's 1533-position model. The record is from RNAcentral.
UGCCAGACUCCUACGGGAGGCAGCAGUGAGGAAUAUUGGUCAAUGGGCGCGAGCCUGAACCAGCCAAGUAGCGUGAGGGAAGACUGCCCUAUGGGUUGUAAACCUCUUUUAUGCGGGGAUAAAGGUGUCCACGUGUGGAUGUUUGCAGGUACCGCAUGAAUAAGGACCGGCUAAUUCCGUGCCAGCAGCCGCGGUAAUACGGAAGGUCCGGGCGUUAUCCGGAUUUAUUGGGUUUAAAGGGAGCGUAGAUGGGUUGUUAAGUCAGUUGUGAAAGUGUGCGGCUCAACCGUAAAAUUGCAAUUGAUACUGGCAGUCUUGAGUACAGUUGAGGUAGGCGGAAUUCGUGGUGUAGCGGUGAAAUGCUUAGAUAUCACGAAGAACUCCGAUUGCGAAGGCAGCUUACUAAACUGCCACUGACAUUGAUGCUCGAAAGUGUGGGUAUCAAACAGGAUUAGAUACCCGUGA